GGCUCCGGCGUGCCAGGGACCCGGCUCCCCCACCCGCCGCCACUGUCCUGCCUCCAGCGGCUGCCCACGCUCGGCCCCGCGGAGCCCCGAAGCUGCGGCGGGGUCGGUGUGCCCGGCGGGAGCGGGGAUGGAGGGAACGGGCCGCCACGGCGUGUGGGUGCGGAUAGUUGGUGGUAAAGUUGUUCAGGAGGGAUGGCGUGUCCCCCUCCGUUCUCUUGCUCUUCUCCAAAGUAAGUAAGUGCUAGCGGACUCCGUACCAAGUUAGAGACGCAUCGUCCCGGCCGGUGACGUCUUGAGAGCCGGUCAGUGACUAACUGAACUGCUAUUGCCAAGGGUGUGUUAACAGAAGAAACUCUGCCUAGUAUUGCCCUGGAUGAGUCACAUUUAAAGGGAGACUCUCUAGUCUGUUAAAGGAAAAGCAGAAAUGAGGCUCACUUUCCUUUUUUGCUGAUGUUUUUUUCCAUCCCACCCCUCACCUUUGCUUGUUGUUUACUUCGUCUUGUGCCAGGGCUCUGUUGGCAUCCCGGCCCUGGCUGGGCAUUUGCAGAGCUGCCUUGCCCAGUGUGCUGUGAUGUCACGCUGGGGACUCUGACUUCAUGGCCCCGAGGAACAGGAAGGCGAGCCAGGCAGGGACUUUUCCAGCCACCCACGGUGGCUGUCACUAAAAACGGAGGAAGUGACGAAGCAGAUGGCUUCUCCUACAAAGUUGUCUCUUGUGAUUUUUCAGCUGGUAAAGAAGCCUGGUAGUCGAGUGUAUUUUCUGAAGAGCAGCACAGCUUCAUUGUCAGCAGAAGUUCCUAAUAAGCAGCUAGGAUUCACCAGAGCUGCUGAGGUUCCCUGGAAGGGUUCAGGUAUUCCCCCUGUUCCUGGGGUUGCUCUCGUGUAGCCCUGGGCUGUUGUAAAGGCUUGGUCUGAAGGAAUUUGCCAGUGCUCUGGUCAAUAAGUAGUUAAUUGCACAGAAGGCAGAGCAAGGUCCUCUGUUGGUAAAGUGUCUCUCUGAGAAGUUUUGCCUGUCCCUAUCUCUCCUUCAUGCUCUUAUCAUUUCUGCCUCUGGGUCCUAGAGGAAUAUCUGCUCUUCACAAGACAACUCAGUUCCCUCUGUGCUCUGUGUUUCCGUAGUGCUCAAACAGCCUGGGAAGAUGGGAAAACCAACCAAAGUUACCCAGACAUGCUGUCAUGUUUGUUCAGAAGCCAAAUGGGCCUUUUUUUUUUUUUUUUUUUUAACAGAGACAGGUUUGGGGGGCAGACAAGUUUGCAGCUUUCUCAGCCCUGAAUUGCUUUUUUCUUCCCUAACUGCACCCACAGCAUCUUCCCACUGCUGGUCCCUAGCAGGCAGGAGCACAGUGUAGCCACACGGAGAAAGGGAGGGAGGGAAAAACCUGGUGCAAAAUCCAUCAGUGUACAAGUGUGUCUGAGAGCUGAAACUGAAGGCCACAGUCCCCCUGUCACCCCAUUUCGUAGGGGACCAUGCACGUAACAAACCUGUGUCUGGAAUAAAGGUGCUUUGUUUCUCUUUGCGUGAACAGCCCUGCGUUUGGGACUGUGCUGGCUGAGGAGUUGACCCCAGGAGAUGCCGCUGGCAGGAGCAGCUCUGCAGGUCGCCUGGCAAGGCCUGUCCCAGUUCCCAUGAGCAGCACCAUGGUGUGGAUGCUCCCGACUUCCUGCUACCGAUGGAACCAUCCUGUUCAGCUCCACUCUUCUUGGAAGGAAGGGAACAGGCCUUGCCCUUCAAGCACCACACUAAGAAGUCUUCUGUCCAUAACAUGUGCCAGUGUCAGGGCAAGGUAGAAGGCAGUCAGUCUGCACUCUGAGAUGGAGAAUGAAAAAUCAUCUUAGGAGAGCAGACAAUGUUCCCUGCAUGGACACACACGCCAGUUCAAACAGCUCUUCUUCAUCUGCAAUGAACUAUGCUGGGAGAAGCUGUGCAGCCAGGAGCAAGCAGCAGAGCAUCUGUACACCACUUGGGGAGCAAAACCAACAGGCAUUUUCUCCUCCAGACAUUCACACCUUUCCUUAUGUAACUGGUGCUGAAGUGUGUGCUUUGAAAGCUGCUUGCCAAAUCCAGGGGCUGGGAGGCAGCACAAAUGCUUCUAGCACUCUAGAUGAAUUUGAGGGGGAAAAAAAAUCCCCAAACCCAAACACCCAGGAACUCGUACAAAUAUGUAACUGUAAUUUGGGGAUGGUUCAAGUGUCUGCAGCAGUGUUGCCCUGAAGAAACUGCACUGGCCUGGGGCAGCGCUGGCACCCAGACCACCAUCUGAUGAGGAUGAUGAGGAGCUGACUGUCCAGGAUAGAGGGGUGAGGAGCUGGGGGCCAUUUUUCUUACACAAUAUUAAAAAAAACCCCAAAAACUAAAAAAAAAAUCAGGUAGUGCAGCCAGGAAAAGGGCGCCAGGGAGGCUGGAGGUGGCUGAAAUACUCUUCUGAAUGGUGCCUUGUGCUGGCAGAACCUGCAGAUUUAUUAAAAAAAACCAAAACAAACCCAACAAAAAUGCAGGACUGCUCACCAGUGAAAAACAGGUAUAUCCUUCACUUUGUGACUUUUGGGUGGCACUAGAGCUAACCAGGAGAAGCAUCUGAGGAGAGAGAAGCUCUGAAGUCCAUUCCUGCCCACUCCAGGGAAGGAAGAAGCUGCCCACAGCGCCUGAGGGACAUGGGGACACGAGUCCCUGCGCAGGCAGCACAGCAUCCUCAAGCCACCCUGCACGCUUGGAUCCCUGCCUUGCCUGCAAGCCAGUUGUUCCCUCUCCAGUACGCGCCGUACGCAGGGCUGCUGGUUUGUUUUUUAAGGGAAAAAAAUAAUUUAUUUGCUUUGUUUUAAUCUCAUAACAAUGGGUAAUGGUAAUUUCUUCCUACCACUCUGUAGUGGCCUAGAAAAGGACAGCAUCAUCUCCACUGUAGCAAGAAGGCUUGUCCCAGGGCAUAAAAUUUUAAUUAGGAACAAUCACGCAGCCUUGAAAUGGGAAUUGCGAGCAGCAAAAAAGUCAAACCAUCAAUAAAAUAUUCAAUGGCAGAAAUGUAUUAUUGACACAGACUUUAGAGCAGCUAAAAGCGGGAAGGCGGGGGAGCGGGUAUUGAGCCUCGCUGCGUUAAAUAACAGGCGGGGACCCGCCCGGGCACAGGCCCCCCGAGCCGCAGGAAUAUAGGUCACCCUCGGCCGGGGAGCUCCCGAGGUAACACAGGAGUUUGAUUACCACCUCUGCCCCACGUGCACCACAGCAGGGACGCAGUAAUCACAGCAGUUUAUUACCUCGUGAAACACUGCUGGCCUAGGCAGCAGCUGGGUGAUGGUGGGUAGGACACAAAAUGAAGAAAAUGUGCAAAGAGCCAGUCUAGAGCUGCAAAGAGUUAACCCCUGGUCACAGCCCUCUCACUAGUCCCAUGCCUGGUUACCAGUGGGGGACACAAUUGAUUUACUCUGUCUCCCACCCAUGCAACAGUUCCAAAUCCCGCAUGCCAGCCAAGGGGCAUCAGCUGAAGGGCCAAAUCUGCUGUGAUAUAUAUUUUAAAUCCUUAUUUUCCGCACCCUCCCACACCUCCUUCUAGGAAAGACUGGUGCUGGUUUGGCCUGUUAAGAUUAUGACUGAAUUAUGACUGAACCUACAAAACUGAUAAAUAAUAUAUAAUUGUAACAGCGGUGAAAAAAAACCCCCAAACAUUCAAAUUAAUUUUCUGCCCCCAUUCAGAAGUACCAUAGGUGAUGACUCUUUUCUCUUCCUGUUUAUUUUGCAGAAGGCAAGGCUACAAAUAUAACCCAAAAAAUGAAAGAUCUGGUUUUAAACCUGCAGAGGUCAGUUUUUUGGGAUACACAAAGGAUGUCACAUGACACACUGAAAUCUGGCCACGUCCAAGGCAAGUGGGUUUUCCAAACCUGCUUUUCCCUCCCCUCCCCAAGCAGCACUGAAUUGCUCUUUACAAUGUCCAUCACCCACUUCUUAGAAAGGGAGAAUCUUUAAAAGCAAGAGUCCAAAAAAAAAAAAAGGACAUGAAGCCCAAAAAGCAAACAAGCAGGGACAAACCAAAUGCAGCUGCAUGGAACAAACACAUUUUUAACUAAUUUUCCUUGAGAUACAUGAUUUAAGGAGGAGGGUGAGGAGGAGCUUGAAAAGCAACCCACCCAAAAAGCCCCAAUUCAAAAAAGGCAGCUUUGAAACUGCAUCUCCCCACUGUGGCAGCUCUCCAGUCAUAACCAAAGACACAGCAGUACCAGUGGAUCUCCCAAAAAAACAAACUUUAAUCCUUUAAUAUUACUUGAUCAGCCUGCUGGGCUAUGGUGGCACCUAGAAAAUCAGCUUUGAGAGGGGAAGAUGUCUGCAGGAACAAGAGCCCAGCAGAAGCUCAGGGGAGAUGGUGAUGGACAGCAAGAGCUGACAUUCCUGGCUGCUGUUAUCCAGGUGCAGACAAAGGGGCUUGGAGGCAAAUGGAAAAUUUCCCCUUACCUGCUCCUGUCUGCAGUUGAGCGCCACCCCCUUUGCCUCCUGUCCUAAAACGCUCUGAGCUGCUGCUGUGCAUUAUUAAAAUGUUGCCAUGUUUCAUCCCAGAGACGGCCGCAUCUCACCGGAGACAAGCCGCAUCCCCUGGUUGUAAAGCAUUUCACGGUUAAAAAAGAAAAAGGGAAAAAAAAAAGAAGAAAAGAGCACUGUGUGCACAAGAGUCAGUCGGUUAUAAAAUACUCACAGCUUUCAUUCGGCAAAUAGAAAGAGAUGGCUUGGAAAUGGAAGAGGCAGCUGCGGGGUGCGCAAACCGCUUGGAUGUGUCCGUCAGGCGCCGGCAGGGACGGCUCAGCCUGGCCACAACAGCACACUCACACUCGCUUUGCUCAAAUCCUUUCCCAAAGAUUUAUUGAAAAUUGGAUCUGCGGCGCACAGGAUUUACAUUCGCACGGGGGAAGCGGGGUUUUACCAGGAACGCUGUGCCCAAGUCACAUUUUUCGCACACGACACGCUGAAAACAGGCUCAGGGAUCUCCCAGACAAACUCUUCCCCUCCCCAAACCGCUUUGGUUUUGCAAUUAAAAUACAAGGUGACCCACCGCGACAGAUGAACAGAAUGGUAACUACUGGCCAUCGAGUUAAAAAAAUUAAAAAUAUCAGGGAAAUGUCACCGAGAGUAUUUUGGUCCUGUUCCCCACUCACACUACUACCGGGGAAGGGCUCAUUCUGCAAUUUUUUACUUUAAAAAGAAGUUGAAAGAUUAAAUGAAUUUAAGAAAAACAACUCCCGCUGUGUGCUUCCUUGAAGCAUGGUCUG
This is a long non-coding RNA of Passer domesticus (house sparrow), 5247 nucleotides long. RefSeq lists it as uncharacterized. NCBI's taxonomy places the organism in Eukaryota, Metazoa, Chordata, Aves, Passeriformes, Passeridae. The record is from RefSeq and is a predicted model, not a curated record. The transcript is spliced from 3 exons.